This is a long non-coding RNA of Pezoporus occidentalis (night parrot), 767 nucleotides long. RefSeq lists it as uncharacterized. The transcript has 3 exons. NCBI's taxonomy places the organism in Eukaryota, Metazoa, Chordata, Aves, Psittaciformes, Psittacidae. The record is from RefSeq and is a predicted model, not a curated record.
UCACAGGCCCGUUAGCGGUGAGGAGCUGCCGGCUGAGCGCGCCCCCUGCCGGGCCCGCCCCGCCCGCUGCUAUUGUGCCGGUCCCGCCCCCGGGGCGACCCCCUGGGGUCCCAGCCUGGCCGCCCUCCGGUCCUAGUGCCCGGGGUCCGGGUCGGGCCGCCCCACGCUCAGCGCUGUCGCCACGGCAUCCGGCUCACCGGUGAGCGCAAACCCGACCCUAACCCGGCAGCGAGGGAAGGCCGAAAGCACGUCGCCACCGCAACGGGCAGCCGUCGCGCUGUGAGCGGAGGGGUCGGGAUUGAAGAGCGGAGCAGGGGCUGAGUCAAACUCCAGUUUGAGUUACCAUCCAAUGUGGAUUUUUUUCAGAGAGGUAUGAGCAAGGUCUGUGCUGUCAAAGAGAGAACACUGGGCUAGAUGGAUCUUUGGUCUAACGUGAGUUUAACAUCUUUGUCAGUGACAUGGCCAGUAGGAUUGAGCACCCUGAGCAAGUUUGCUGACAACCCUGAGCUGUGUGGUGCAGUUGACACACUGGAGGGAAAGGAUGGGAUCCAGAGGGACCUGGACAGGCUGGAGAGGUGGGACCAUGUGAACCUCAAGGAGUUCAACAAGGCCAAUUGCAAGGUCCUGCCUCUGGGUCAGGGCAAUCCCAAGCACCAACACAGGCUUUGGGAGAGGGGCUGGAGCAGCCCUGGGGAGAAGGCCUUGUGGUGUUGGAUGAUGAGAAGCUCCUCAUGACCCUGCUUCAGGGUGCACUUGAGCCCAGACAC